GGGAACCUUACCUGGGCUCGAACGUAAGAUGACUGUAGGUGAAAGCUUACAUCUCUUCGGAGCAUUUUACGAGGUGCUGCAUGGUUGUCGUCAGCUCGUGCCGUGAGGUGUCGGGUUAAGUCCCAUAACGAGCGCAACCCCUACCUUUAGUUGCCAUCAGGUUAAGCUGGGGACUCUAAAGGAACUGCCUACGCAAGUAGUGAGGAAGCGGGGAUGACGUCAAAUCAGCACGGCCCUUACGUCCAGGGCUACACACGUGCUACAAUGGCCGAUACAGAGGGCAGCUACCUGGUGACAGGAUGCAAAUCUCCAAAGUCGGUCUCAGUUCGGAUCGGAGUCUGCAACCCGACUCCGUGAAGUUGGAUUCGCUAGUAAUCGCGCAUCAGCCAUGGCGCGGUGAAUACGUUCCCGGGCCUU
This 417-nucleotide ribosomal RNA is filed under the name uncultured Sphingobacteriales bacterium. RNAcentral's name for it is "bacterial SSU rRNA". It matches the Rfam family "Bacterial small subunit ribosomal RNA", at positions 964 to 1382 of the family's 1533-position model. The record is from RNAcentral. Lineage: Bacteria; Pseudomonadati; Bacteroidota; Sphingobacteriia; Sphingobacteriales.